UACCAUUGAACCAUCUAUCAGAAAGAAAUAAUGCAACAAAGUUCUACGAUUUUAUUGCAAGCCCCCCCCUUUUUUUGGGAUCAAUCGAAAUCUUUCAACGAGCACUUUUGACAAGUAAACACACAACCAUACAAGGUGAAAUUUUAAUUUUCAGAAAGUCUUGUUUUUUUCCACCAAAAAUCUGUUAACCAUAAUUAUAUUCUCCAAAAUUGCGAAAAAUCCUGUUUUUGUACCGAAAUUUUCCAGAGAAAAUCUGCAGUUUGUAGUAAACACUGUCAAAAUGAUUGGUUAUUUUCUGGUCAAAAUUACCAAAUAUUCUAGUUACCUACUUGUUUUUCGUCAAAAUUGCAGAAAAAACUUCCAUUUUCCAUGCAAUCUUUUUUUUUUUGGGUCAAAGAAAUGUGUUUUUUUUUCCUGAAAAAUUAUACCUGUUUUUUUCAUUAAUUUUUUUAACCAUUAAAUUCUCAAAUUCAAUUUCCCAAAUCAACGUUCCCCAAAUAACUAUUCGUCGAAUAAAUUCACCUUGAAACUUGACUUCAAAAUGUAAGAAUUUUUUGAAAUUUUACUAGGUACCUACUUAACAAUAUUAGAAAAUUUGAGCUAUCUACUUCGACAAAAAACGAAUCUUCCCUUCAGCGAAUGAAAAGUCAGACUUUUACGGGAAUCGCGACAAUUUGAGAGGGAGAGGGGAUUUGACAAUAGACUUCCCUGGCAAAUUUUAAAAAAGUGAUUUUUUUAUAGUUUCUACAAAAUAAGUAGGACGUUUUGCAAUUCUGAGAAAAUUAGGAUUUUUUAGUAAUUUUGAUAGAAAACUUUUUUUUUUUGCAAUUUAUACUUACAGAACAAAUAUUUUUUUGAGGACAUAAAAAACCAAGAAUAAACAAGGCUGUUGACAAAUAAUGGAGAUUUUCAACAAUUUUUACAAAAAACCCUGAUUUUUCUGAAUUUUGGGAAAAAAGCAAGAUUUUUUGGUAGGCAAUGUUUGAUGAAAAAAAAUUUCUUUUAUAGUAAAUUUAACAGCAAAAUAGACUUUUUGUGAUCACAAACAAGACAUUCAGAGAACUUUGAAUUAAAAGAAGAAAAUCUCCGAAUUUUCGGUGAAAAGCAAGAACUUUUUAUUCGCUUUUUUAUACAAACAAACAGAUUUUUCUUUUGAAUUUUGAUAUACAAGUAGAAUUGUUGUGCAAUUGGAAAAAAUAAGACUUAUUGGCAAUUCUAAUGAAAAAAAGAUACAUUUUUACAGAGUUUUCUGUAAUAUUGGCCAGAAAAUUGAGAUUUUUUUUGGUAAUUUUGGUUUUGAAGUUUUGAAGAAAAAAAAAACAAGAUUUUUCUGUAGUUUCGACUAAAAAAAAAAUUUUACAACAAAAAAGUAAGGAUUUUUGGAAAAAUUUUUGCAAUGGGGAAAAAAAGACUUUUUGCCAAAAAUGACCAUUAAUUUUGUUGGCUAAAAAGUUUUUUUUAUGGUGUUGCUGUUUUUGUCACAAAAAACUGUUUUGUUGUCAAUUUUUUUUAUAAUGUGUUUAAUUACCGAAUUACUUACUUAUGCAAAAAAAAUCGCUUUAAAAUAUUUUCUUUUUUAAAAAUUACAUACAAAAAAUCCAACUUUUUAAUUAUUAUUAUAUUUUUUUUUGUGAUUAUUUACAUCUCUGAUGAAAAUUACCGAAAGUACCCAUGGACACUUCUAUAAUGUACGUAGAUUUUGCUCACAGAAGAUACUCGACUACUCGUUCGAAAAUUCCCUACACAAAUAACCCAUGGUAGGAUGUCUAAGUCAUUUCAAGUUAUGUGAAUUAUAUAUCUACAUUAAUUUUCAAUAUUUAUGUAAGUAGAUAAAAAAAAAAUCUACGAACACUUUCCACAUACGUAAAUAUUGUGUAAUCAUUUCAAGUCAACAAAAAUUUCAUUACAACAGAAGUGUUGAAAUCUGACGUACCUGCCUAAAUAUUUCGCAAACAAUUUGUUUACUUGAAUUUUCGACAUGAAAAAUCACAAAAUUUGAUGAAAAUACGAAAAUAAAGCGACAACUUGACAGCAGUUUUAUCACAAUUUCUUAAUAUAUAAGCCGCCAAAUAUCGUUAUAAAUUCACAGUAAACGAGUCGAGAAGAUUGCGCGACGAAAACAAAUACCUACUGCAGCAGCGCGGAGUCGCAGGGCAGCUCAAAGAUGAAACCAAUUCAUUUAUUAUUGAUGCUUUUAGCAGCUGGGAUAUUUGCGUUGAGUUCCGCCCAGGAUGACGAAGAGGGAUCCGAACCCGAAGAUUCCUCCGAGGAAUCCAAAGGAGAGCCGGAAGAUUUGGUGAAAGAAGUUGUCAAGGGUGUCCCAGGAGUCAACGUCGAAAAGGAAGGUGACACCCCACCCCCUGACGAAAGUGGCGCCCCACCUCCUGACGAACGUUGAGCACUACAAGAAGUGCAAAACAAAUCUGAUAAAAAAGCAUUCGUUAAUUCCACUUCAUUAAGCAUAAUGAAACAAUAUUUCACCUUCAUUGCAACAUUUCAACACCACGAUUUAUUUUACACCUCAGGACUGCUCUAUAUUGGAUCAUAUUUUUACACAUUUUCAAUUUUAACACUUGGACUAAUAUUUUAACAUUUUUAACCGGUGUUGGGGGUGGUGAUGGUUGAGAAAUUAAUUUUCAUUAGGUACUUAAGUAUAAUAGAUAAUUGUAUUAAGGACAAUUUGUGCACAUUGCUUCAAUAAAGGACUACUGCAAUAUAAAA
Planococcus citri (citrus mealybug) is the source of this 2721-nucleotide long non-coding RNA. RefSeq lists it as uncharacterized. The record is from RefSeq and is a predicted model, not a curated record. The transcript is spliced from 2 exons. NCBI's taxonomy places the organism in Eukaryota, Metazoa, Arthropoda, Insecta, Hemiptera, Pseudococcidae.